GUGACUAUAGUUCAGUCGGUUAGAGCGUCAGAUUGUGGUUCUGAAUGUCGUGGGUUCGAGUCCCACUAGUCACC
RNAcentral lists this transfer RNA (74 nucleotides) under Bacteroides sp. RNAcentral describes it as "tRNA-His". It matches the Rfam family "tRNA". Rfam says of the family: Transfer RNA (tRNA) molecules are approximately 80 nucleotides in length. Their secondary structure includes four short double-helical elements and three loops (D, anti-codon, and T loops). Lineage: Bacteria; Pseudomonadati; Bacteroidota; Bacteroidia; Bacteroidales; Bacteroidaceae. The record is from RNAcentral. RNAcentral also lists the same sequence under 5 other names.